RNAcentral lists this ribosomal RNA (471 nucleotides) under uncultured bacterium. RNAcentral's name for it is "partial 16S ribosomal RNA". It matches the Rfam family "Bacterial small subunit ribosomal RNA", at positions 28 to 507 of the family's 1533-position model. The record is from RNAcentral.
GACGAACGCUGGCGGCGUGCUUAACACAUGCAAGUCGAACGAUGAAGCGGUGCUUGCACCGUGGAUUAGUGGCGAACGGGUGAGUAAUACGUGAGUGACCUACCUUUGACUCUGGGAUAAGCCUGGGAAACUGGGUCUAAUACCGGAUACGACCAAUCUCUGCAUGGGGUGUUGGUGGAAAGCGUUAUGGAGUGGUUUUAGAUGGGCUCACGGCCUAUCAGCUUGUUGGUGAGGUAAUGGCUUACCAAGGCGACGACGGGUAGCCGGCCUGAGAGGGUGACCGGCCACACUGGGACUGAGACACGGCCCAGACUCCUACGGGAGGCAGCAGUGGGGAAUAUUGCACAAUGGGCGCAAGCCUGAUGCAGCGACGCCGCGUGAGGGAUGACGGCCUUCGGGUUGUAAACCUCCGUUAGCAUCGAAGAAGCGAAAGUGACGGUAGGUGCAGAGAAAGCGCCGGCUAACUACGUG